RNAcentral lists this signal recognition particle RNA (95 nucleotides) under Dactylosporangium sp. Its description in RNAcentral is "signal recognition particle sRNA small type". It matches the Rfam family "Bacterial small signal recognition particle RNA". Rfam says of the family: The signal recognition particle (SRP) is a universally conserved ribonucleoprotein involved in the co-translational targeting of proteins to membranes. Archaeal SRP consists of a 7S RNA and homologues of the eukaryotic SRP19 and SRP54 proteins. In most bacteria, the SRP consists of a 4.5S RNA and the Ffh protein (a homologue of the eukaryotic SRP54 protein). The record is from RNAcentral. Lineage: Bacteria; Bacillati; Actinomycetota; Actinomycetes; Micromonosporales; Micromonosporaceae.
AACGCCCCUCGUGUGGCGUGCAUCCUGUGAACUCCCCCAGGGCCGGAAGGCAGCAAGGGUAAGCGGGCUCUGGCGGGUGCACGGGGGGCCUUGCC